CUUCAGAUGGGUGCCAGCCUCAUGAAUCUUCAGGUUUUCUCUUUCCCUACUGCAUGCACUACUUAAGACUGUGCAGUUUGCUGUCGGUUUUGGUGCAUCAUGGGAAGAACACCGUGGUGCAGGCCGGCAGGAAAGGUUCUCAGCUGUGUUUUGAAAAGCUGGCAGUGUGGAACAAAUGGUGAGACAGUACUAACUCCUGAACCUGUUGCAGCUGAGAGAUCAUGGGCAUCUGCUC
Long non-coding RNA from Artibeus jamaicensis (Jamaican fruit-eating bat), 235 nucleotides. RefSeq lists it as uncharacterized. Lineage: Eukaryota; Metazoa; Chordata; Mammalia; Chiroptera; Phyllostomidae. The record is from RefSeq and is a predicted model, not a curated record. The transcript has 3 exons.